Molecule: transfer RNA, 59 nt
Filed under: Heterocephalus glaber (naked mole-rat)
Lineage: Eukaryota; Metazoa; Chordata; Mammalia; Rodentia; Bathyergidae
Rfam family: tRNA
About the family: Transfer RNA (tRNA) molecules are approximately 80 nucleotides in length.
Source: Rfam by way of RNAcentral
AUAGCUCAGUGGUGGAGUGCUUGCCUAGCAUGCAGGAGGCCCUGGGUUCAAUGCCCAGU